RNAcentral lists this long non-coding RNA (38764 nucleotides) under Ananas comosus (pineapple). RNAcentral's name for it is "long non-coding RNA (ACOM_LNC023259)". The record is from RNAcentral. Lineage: Eukaryota; Viridiplantae; Streptophyta; Magnoliopsida; Poales; Bromeliaceae.
UUAACUUAGAUAUAAAAGGAAACCCGGAUCCUUCGGGAUGACACCCCCCACCUCUUGAGGGUAUGGAGGCUCUAGAAAUGCCCUCCAACGGGCGUUACGACGACUUCUCGGCCUCUUAGGUCGAAAUGAAGCUUAGUUGGCCUUGUUUCGCCAAUAUCUUUUCACCCGUUUGACGAAUGAAAAAUCCGACUUCGCCCCCACGUUUAGGCAUCUAGCAAUUAGAUUUACAAGGCCUCAAAUGAGAUCAAUCUCAUGAUUUACCAAAAAAACUAUUUUGGAGCCCUAGGGUACACAUCUUGCUAUUUGCCAUUUGGAACCCUAGCUCUAGCUUUAAUACACAAACAAUGGUGCUAGAGGUCCAUUUCACCCAUUUUCCAAAGCUCAAAACCCAAAAACCCUAAGUUCCAUAAGCUAGGGUUCAAGAGCUUAUCUCUUGAACUACUCCAAUGGUGAGGAGAGGAAGAGGAAGAUGCUCCAAGCCUCCUUGAGCUUGAUCUUCUCCUCCUUCUUCUUCUCUUUUCUUCUUCUCCUUCUCUUUUCCUUCUAGAGAGAGAGAGGGAGCAAGAGAGUGUGAGAGAGGGAGAGAGAAAUGAGAGGCUGAGGGAGAGAGAGGGCCCAUAUGCCUCUCUAAUGUAACAAUAUCCAGAUUAGCCCCUCAACUUUUGUCUCCAUGCACUGCCCUCACUGGGCAUUCUGCGCCCAGAGGGACCGGUCUCCCCGACCUAGGACCGGUCCCCGAGAGCCUCAGCCUGGGUCACGCGUUCGGGAACCGGUCCUUCCCUGAGAGACCGGUUCCCGGGAGACCGGUUCCCUCUUGAGAGACCGGUUCUCGAGAGCUGGGAUUUCGGGACUUAGCCAAUCUUGGCUUUUCUCGCUCGGUCACGUUCGGGGACCGGUCUCUCCCUGCCAGGGAUCGGUUGCCUCAAGAAUCCCCGCAACCACCAGCCGAUGGGAACGGUCCCCGAGAGCAAUUUUGCUCCUGUACAGGUUUUGCACUAUUCGCUCUCGUGGACUCAUUUUUAAUGCACUUUUGGUGACUUUGACAUCUUUGGCUUUUCCAAAACUCACCAACCCGACCCUUGGUCGAUUCUGGAUGAAGUCUAACUCUCGUAUUUCGAGAAUUUACUUCCUUACAAUAGGUGGAUUCCCGACUGAAUAAUAGCCCUAGUGGAUAAGGUAUCCUCGAGUUGAGAGGAUUGGAUCAUACUCACUGUCUGUUCAGAGCUUGUGGUGGUCGCUCCACACAAGCGUGCGCUUUGAAGUUUGUCACACGAGGGAUAGCCUUAUAGGGUCCAACUGUAACAUACCACAUCCCUCGUAAGUCGUGCCGAGUUCCGUCGAAACGAGCAGAACACGGAAUUGAACGAGUUACAGUGGACCCUAAGUGCAUUGGAGUUCAUAAAUGGAGCAAAAAGGGACCCGGAGAGCAAAUCUGGAAAUCUGGCUAAGUCCCAGAUUUUGAGCUCUCGGGGACCGGUCCCUGAAGGAGAGACCGGUCCCCGUACGCGUAGCCUGCCAGGAAAUCCUGAGGCAUCCGGUCCCUGGUGGUGAGACCGGUCCCUGACGGGCAGACCGGUCCCUCGCUGCGCAACAGCCGAAAAACUCGAAAAUUUGGCUAAGUCCUGGAAAACCCCCGUUCGGGAACCGGUCCCUGGUCGGGGAGACCGGUCCCCGAAGGCGAAAAUUGCCCAGUCUGGGCAGAUUGAUGGGAAACAAGUGGAGGGGCUUAUGUGCAAUUGUUACAACACUAUAUGUGGCCCAUCCCCUCUCUCCCACAGCCAUUUCUCUCCUCCUCUCUCAUUUUCUCUCUUUCUCUCUCUAGAACUCCUCUAGAACUUGGAGAAGAAGAAGAAGAGUUUGAGGAAGAAGGUGGAUUUUGGUGCUUUGGAGAUUCUAGGAGCUCUCCAACAAGAAGGAUCUUGGUGGAGCUUGGACUAGAGGUGAGUUUUGUGAGGUUUCCCUCUAGGGUUUGGGUUUUAACUUAAGGAAUUGGAGCUUUGUGCUCCUUAGAGGUAUUAGAAGCUCUUUUGAGCCAUGGAUACCAUGGAACCCAUGAGAGCUGAAGGUGCUCUCAUGGUGAAUCCUUGGAGAUGAUGUUUGGAGCCCUAGGGUUGGUACCAAAGGUCUAGAAACCUUACUAGGAUGCUUCUUAGAUGAUCCUAAGCUAUCCUUUGCUUAGGGUUGGGAUCGAUUCAUGGGGAAACCCUAAAUGGCAACAUUAGGGCUUGAAUUUGGGGUUUUUGCCCUAGGAUUUUUCGGGGACAAAUUGACCCUGUAGAAACCCAAUUGGGGGUGCCCAAAACACGUCGGACAACUUCGUUUAAUAUUUCGAAAAUGUUAGAGUAUAGUUCAUGUACAAAAAGGCCUAAUAUGGCACUAUUUGAUUAUAGGGCGCGGAAUCGGCUUUCGUAAAGUGCGGGGGCCUUAAUAUUCUACACCCACACGACUCACAGAGGUGGGGGGUGCACGCCGGAAUCGUUGGAUUCCCCUCUAUGUCUAUUUCUCUAUUUUUGAGCAUAUAUAUAUAUAUAUAUACCCAUUCAUGCAUAGUAGGGUAGCUACAUGUGGAACUUGGUUUGAUUUCAUUUUUAUGCUUCUAAAGUAGUUGAACGUAGAAGAAUGAUAGAACCAAAACGGACAUGUGUGAUUGGACCCUCGAGAUGUGUGAACAUAAGUAUGGACUUGGACAUUAGAAAACAAGGGUGUCAUUGACAUAGAAACAAGAAUUGCAUUGAGAGAUGAACCAUUGAAUAUAGUUUAACCCACGUUGACAUCGUCGAAGGUAAAGCCUUGAAAGUGACAAGAAUAAAUAGAUAGAGACCUAUCAUAAUAUUGGCAUUGUGACUAAUGGCUAUGAGUCCUCAAGUUGAGGAUUAGAUCGAUACUCACCUUUCGUCUUGGCUUGAGGGAGGUCGCUCCCCCUCGAGCGGUGCGCUCCGGAGUUGGUCACCACUGGGCGUGGUAAAGUCCCACCAGUUGACGGUCCCCAGGGAGGUUCGAGUCCCCCGUUAUUAAGGGAUUAUGGGUUGUGAGUUAUUGGGGUUAACAGAGUUAACCGGUAAGAUUGGGUAAGAGCUAGAGUUUGAUUAUGAUUGGAGCAUGCAUGCAUUUCCAUUUUCGCAUUGAAAUUGUAUAUCUACUGACUUUUUCUUGCAGGCAUAGUAUUAGUUGCAUUAGUAAUGGUUACUUUUCUUCCUUUGAAAUACUUAUGCCUGGAUAGACCUAGUGGGUAAGUCGGCGAGGUCGGAUGCCGAGCCCACUGGGAACUUCGUUGUAGUUCUCACACCACUAACCCUACAGGUCCUAGCACGAGCGGGGCGGCGGAGGACCGAGGCAAGGGUUUGGCGCCGUAGGUAGCGGCCACCGGGGACUUUAUGCAUUUUGUAGUCAUUCCCUUUUGUUAUACAUGUAUCAACUUUAUUUUGUUGAUUUAGGUAUGUAAAGUGAAAACAAUCAUGUAUUUGGUGGAUGACUAAAUGUAAAAAGAUAUGAUGGUUGAAUGGAAUGUAAUAGUUUUACAUUAGCUUUGUUUACUUGAAUUUGGUUUAAAUGAAAUCAAAUAUCAUGUGUAAUCUAUAUUUAGCUUAGAGCUUUCGCUUCCGUUGUUGCUUGCCCUCGUGCAAGCCUUGUAUUAUAUUUGCAAUUCUCUUGUUAAUUGCCUAAUUAUGUGUAUUGUUAGAGCCUUGGGCGGACAGGGGAGGCUCUGUCCGUUCGGCGUCUGUUGACGUGACCCGAACCCGACCAAAUUGGCGGGGAUUGGGGCGUGACACCAACAGACGGGUUUGCUGAGCGAGUUGAGUCUCCUUACCCAUAAGAUGCAUGUGAGUCGUGGGCGAACCUCAGGGUUGGCCAAGGAUUGGUUAAGCCAAAAGAAUUGAUGAACAAGUAAAUAGCAUUACUUCUUGGACAUAGUGGCAUGUUAGUUGAUUACCUAUCACAUUGUGCAUGCAUACAUUGUAUAUGAUUUCGGCAUAAUAGCAUAGCUUUCUUACUAUAUCGUUACUGUUUUUACAUAUCUAUCUAUCUAUCUGCUUGUGCCUACUUGGACCUAGUAGGGAGAUCGGGGGAGUCGGCGGCCGAACCCACUGGGAACUAUGGACUAUUGUGACGCACUAGACCUUGCAAAUUGUGGGGUUUGAGUGAUUGGUUGUGUUCUGAGCUUUUCCAGAUUUUCUGGUGGGUCGUUGAAAGUGUUCCGACCUAUGGUUCGAGUCCCGAGAAUUGUGGUUUAAACCUGUGUACCAAAAUCUAAAAAGUUAGAUUUUUGGUCAGCCUUCGGGUAGCCUUCGGCAGGCUGUGUACCGGUACGGGCUUGGUGGCUGUACCGGUAUGGGGUUGAUGGCUGUACCGGUACAGGCCCGCAUACCGGUACACAGACGGCUUUUCGGCCAAACCCGAGGCUCGGGUUUGCAUUUUCGUGGGUGGUGUACCGGUACACAAUUUCGUGUACCGGUACACAGUGCAGAUUGGGACUGUUUCGUGGAGGGGUGUUUUUGCAAUUGUUGCAACACAUAUAUAUUACACCCCAGCCCCUUUAGAGGGUUUUCUUGUGCCCUAACCAGAGGAGAUAAGGUGAGACUCUCCCCCUUUGAUCUCUUCUCCAUUUUUGAUGGAUUUUGGUUGGUUUUGAUCUCUCCUCUCUUCUCCACCUUGUUUUUUGUUGGGUUUCCUCUAUUGUUGAAGGCUUGGAGCUUGGAGAGGAGCUUGUUUGAGAGGAGAUUUUCAACUCCACUUGGCUUGGAGCUUGGUUUGGGACAUCUUGUGAGGUGAGUAUUCAUGAUCUUUCUUUUAGAGCAUGUUUUGGUAGUUUUCCUCUUUGGAAACCCUAGAUUUUGGAUUCUAGGGCUAGGAUUGGGAUUUUUUGAUUUGAGGGCUUUGGAGCCAAAUUGAUGGGUUUAGAACCUUUGUUUAAGUUUGAUUGGAAGGACUCUAGCUCCCAUUUAGAGAUUGAGAGAGCUUCCUUCGCAAUCGGUGAGUUUUCUUCAACCCUAGCCCGAAUUGGUUAAUGAUUGUGCAAUCCGUUGUUCGUUCGUUUGGGUAACACUUGUUCCUACAUCCUUAGGGUACUAGGAGGCUAGUGGACACCUUCGUUCGGCGAAACGAAGAGUUCGAAAAAUCGGUGGGUUUGGCUUCAUGAUUUGGGGGCAAAAUGGCCCCUAUGAGUAAAAUACUUGUCUUUUUGUGAAAGUAAAUGCAUAUUCAUGCUAGAUAGAAUUUGUAUGAAUUUUGGAACGCUUAAAACCCAUGCAUUAUGUGUCAUGAGAACUUCGCUCUAUGUAGUAGAGCCUUAUUUGUAGUAUGCAUGCAUGUGUUCCGGAUUCUUUAUUGCAACUUGAAAAUAUGUCUCUUAUGUGGGAAAAUGACUAGAAUCAUGCAAUCUUAAGCAUAAUUGUCAUGCUAUGACUUAGUGAGCAAAAGUGUCAUAAAGGGGCACUUGAACUAGAAAACGGUUGAACUGCAACUUAGAGACAUGAUGAUAGGCCAUUGUACAUCUGCUAUAUUCCAUGUUAGAGACAUGAUGACAUAGAGAUAGGCCAUGAUGACAUUUGACAUAUUCCAUGUUUUAGACAUGAGGACUUGGUACUUGAGACAGAUCAUUGCUUGCUUGCCAUUGUGCUCAUUCGCACAUGCUUGUGAGGGUCGCUCCCUACAAGCCGGCACUCCGGAGAUAGCCAUCGCGACAUAUGCUCACCCGUGCGGGAUUGGGCGCCGAAGUGGAUUGCCGUGGGGGAGGCUCAUCCCUAGAGUGGGGAUGUUCACUACCACGGGGCCAUUAGGCACGGCGGAGGCCAGACAGCCUUCGGGUGGGUCUUAUAUGAUUGGGACUUAGUGACAGAACAUACUACGUGAACUUUAAAACUAUUAAAGUGGACUUGGAUUAGAAUAGUAAACAAUGACAUCUUUACUAUUUUUGCAUUGAGGACAUCGGGUUGGGUGCAUUUCUGUGAUUAUGCAUGUCAUACAUAUCCAUGUACAUCCAUGAUAUAGUUGCCUUAUUACUUAUGCAAAUCAUACUAAGUAGAGACUUUAUGUUAUAGUAAGUUACAUUUUACUUACCUUUCGCUUUACUACACUGUUAGUCACUGACCUCUUUUUAUAGCUUUUGGGCCUUGUGACGCAGUUCACUGAAGUCAGUAAUUGCCCACUGGGAACUAUUUUUAAUAGUUCUCACGCCCCUAUUUUCGUGAUUUCUUUCAGAGCCUUCUGCACCGGCGGAGGCACGGGAUCGCGGCAAGGGAAUCGCAUAGCUAGCUAGCGAGAAGUGGUUCUUUGCCUAGGUGGUUUACUCUUUCUUUUUGUAAAUGAGAGAGAGUGAGAGAUUUUGUAUCCAUGUAUAGAGACCACCUAUGUAUCUACCUUUAGCACUUGUAUUGAGAUUUCCAUUGUAUUACUUUAUGCCUUUAUUAGUGGAUUCCAGCUUUGUGUUCUUUUCUCUAUUGUAGAACUUAGUAUUAUAUUAUGCUCUGAUACUCCUAGAUGUCCUUUAUUAUUGCUUCAAUUAUCGUUGUUUUAGACGCCUUAUAUGUUUUAGACGUAUGGCGGGUCUGGACACGUGCCGUGCGGGCUUCUGCUGGUGUCACGCCCGGGUACCAGCGGAAGCAUAUCCGGUACGUGAACAGACCCGCCAUACACCUGCAGUAUAUAAGGCGUCUACAAACAAGCAAGUCGAUAGGAAGAAGAUCAUAGAAAAUUCUAACCUGAUAUCAGAGCAAAGUACAAGUCAACAAUACAAUCAACAAUAGAGUAAAGGAGUAUAGUCCAAAAAUCUCAACCACAAGAUGAGUAUCACAACUAAAGUGACUGUCCAAAAGUACAUAUACAUCACGGGGUAUACAAAAGAAUAGGUACAACGGUGGUCUAUCUAUACAUAGGGACAUCACCCUCGGCCGUAGCCCGAGUAGCAAGGUGAUCGACUAGCACGCUCCUAGUAGUCCCUAGCUAGGCGCGACUCCCUUGCCACGAUCCCUAGCCUCUCCUGUAAAUGGCUCUGUAAAAAACAACCACCAAAAGGGCGUGAGAACUAUUAACAAUAGUUCCCAGUGGGUAAGCCGCCAGCCUCGGCGAAUUACACCACUAGGCUCAAGAUGUACUAAAUGAAAGCAAAAACAAUAAUUUGCAUGAUGUAUAAGCAUGAUGCUAAUAAGUAAUAAGCAUGUAAUCAACAUGUAAUAGCUUUCUACAGUAAUGAACCAUUUGCAUAAAAGAGAUAUAGCAACUUCUGUAAUCAUGAACAUAGACAUGAGUAUAAGCACGAACAUAAAAGUGACUACUGUACACUUUAAGUAAUAAACAUUCAUUACUGUCCUUUUUCAUUUAGUACUUUCCUUUCAUUCACAGGGACCUACCCAAGGUAGUCCAGCUUGCGCCGCGCCUAAUGGCCCCGUGGUAGUAUACACUCCCCACGGCAAUCCACUUCGGCACCCAAUCCCGCACGGGCGAGCAACUGUCGCGUAGGCCAACUCCGGAGUGCCGGCUUGUAGGGAGCUACCCUCACAAGCGUGUGCGAAUGAGCACGAUGGCAAGCAAGCAAAUUCCACUGUCCACAUGUCUCAAUUCUCAUGUUUUCAUUUGCAAUGUUCUCGCUCUCGAUCCUUUGAUCGACAUUUCAGUAUAACAAAUAUUAACAACAACUAGAAUCCACUAGUUUAGUAAGCAUGCAGGAGUAAUGCUAAUUUACAUAUGGCAUUAGAAUCUUUCACUAUCAUGGCACUAUCAACAUAGGCACAAGCAUGUCAUAGUUCUCUACUUCAGAGUCAAGAGAAUGUCAUUGUUCUCUACUUGUAAUCAAGCGAGUAAAAAGAGAAUGUCAUUGUUCUCUACGUUUCAUGAGCAUAAUAACGUGUCUCAUUAUUAUUCAACUAAACCAAACAGGAAUAUGAAUACAUUUAGGCGUGAGGAUUCUCUACUUCAUAGAGAUUCUAUGUCAAUAUAGUAAAUGUUAUGAUGACGAAUUCUCAAGCCCUUUAGCUAUCACAUAAGCACACAACUAACACAUUUCUAUAAUACAUAUAGAACAUAGAGGAGCUUCACUUGCUCUGGUUAGGUCCGACCCACCUAGUACUAGGCUCCAAAACAGUCCAAGGAGUUCCAAGGAUCAGCUCCACUAGGUCGCAAUCCUGCUGAACACGAAGCAUACAUAUCGUAUCAAAAUUACGAUCGAAAAGGCCAAUUUCGGCGCAAUUACACUUUGUACAUUGGAAUAGCUUAAAUCCCUGUUUUGGCUUAGUUCAAUACCUCACGUUAAGCUUCCAGAAGGCCCUCCAAGGCCAAACGAAGGCGGUCCAAGGGUCAAACACCCUCUUGCUGCGAACAAUUCCGAAACGACAUCAAACUCAUCAAUAAUAGCAAUUAUGGUCGGAAUCUUGCAAUUUCGGCUUCCUAACUGCAAUUCUUACUUACCUUAGGGUAGAACAACUUCCAAACCAGCUUCAACGAGUACACGUUCAGCUCAACGAGGCUCGAAGACCUGCUGCGAAGUCAACGUACAAAACUGCAUCAAUUUGAUCGCAUAAACCGUGUAUAGUCCGAAAUAGCUUCAUAAAUGGCUAAUUAUCCUAAUUAAGCUUUAAAGUAGCUUAACCCUGGUCAAAGAAGGUUAAUUCACAGCUAAUUAACCCAUAUAUACAUGCUGAAAUCUCAGGUUAAAACAGUUGGAAGCAAAAACAUGAAAUCAAUACACAAAUCGACCAAUAAAGCGCCGAUAACGGAAAAAUCAAGUCGUUUACCUUCUCAAGCUUCCAACCAGCACCUCACUGGUCCAGGGCUGCGAAAAUCCCUCCAAAACGCUCUCUUGCACGUGCACAAAGGUGCUGCGACGCUCGCAACCAGCGAAGAACGCGCGCGGCGACGAAAACGAGCGAAAUCGGCGAAUUCGAUGUAGAGAGAGAAAAACCCUAGAGAGAGAGAGUGAGGAAGGUGGGAGAACCUUUCUCUGAGCCCAGCACCCUCCACUGAACAUCCCUGGUCGAGCUGGGGUCAAGUGGAUAGGUAUCAAGUGUGAAAUGACCGAAAUAGCCCUGCUGCCACGAAUUGCCACUGUGUACCGGUACACCAUAGCGGCUGUACCGGUACAGCAAGCAGAAAAGGCUGAUUUUCGCCAGUUCAAUGCACUUUCUCACUUUUCGCAUUCCAAUCAUCCUCUAACUUAUCCAAAAACUUGUUCUAACCUUUUAGAACAUGUAGGAGUGAUCCACACACCAUUCCACAUACUCGAACUCCGCAAUUUGCAAAAGUUCAGUGUAUUACAGCUGGGUCCCGGGACAUGACAGAUUAAUUUGGUAUCAGAGCCUAGGGUUGAGUCUUAGGGGACCUAGCAAACCUUAGGCCGGUUGGACUGUAGGAAAUAGGCUCGUGAGAGACGAGGUCUAUUCGAUUUGUAAGCGGGAGUAUCUUGAUUGGGUAUCUUUAAUAACUCUAGGAAGUGGAGUUAAAUUGAAGUGUAUAGCUUCUAACUUCGCGGAGGGUUACGUUGGCGGCCGACAACAUAACAUCGGGAGUUAGUGGUGAAAAACACUUCCUUACUUUCGCAUGAUUUGGGUUUUACUUUGAGCGGGGAUGCGUUGGCGUGGAUUUUUACUAACUUACGCUUUUAUGAUGUUGUAGUGAAGAUGCCGAUUACUCGCUCCCAAUCUGCCGGUGCGGACUAUGCGGCAAACUUUGAGGAGGUCGAGACCUCCACGAGACCUCCGCUACCUCCGGAUCCAGCGAGGUCCGUGAGUUGAGGGGCCAGCUUGCGGCCCUUACUGAUUUAGUCACUCAGCAGGCGGAGGCGGCCCGACAGCAGACCGAGGCGGCGCGCCGACAGGAGGCGUGGAUGAAGCGUCUGGAGGACCUACUAUUGCAGCAGGCGGCAGCUUCUAGGGAGACGCAAGCCCCUACACCGCCAGCACCAGUUGUGGACGUUGCACCGAGAGCGCUGUCCCCCGCACCCAGUUCUUCGCGUGCGGCGCCUGUGGCCGCACCCCAGGAGGAGGUUUUGGCGCCACCACCUGUUCAGAGGCCCCCAGCUGGAGCGGCAUUCCCUACCUUGGUCGAGGGGGCGGAGCGAGAUAGACUGAUGGAGCGCCUCAAUGAGUUCAGGAGGCGCAGCCCCCGAGUCUUCGACGGCGAGAAGGUCGACCACUGGAUCGUGGAGAAGUGGUUGAUGCAUAUGGAGAAGCUCUUCCGCGACACCUUCGUGGAGGAGAGGGACAGAGUUUGGCUCGCCACUCACCACUUGGAUGGCGAGGCCUACCGCUGGUGGUUGGAUCUCUAGGAGCACCCCAGCACUAACUUGGUAGCUAUCACUUGGACGAGGUUCAAGGAGCUUCUUUUGGCGCACUACUUCCCGACCAGCGUCAAGAGGAAGAUGGAGUAGGAUUUGCGCAGCUUGCGCCAGGGUGACAGGACUGUAGCCGAGUACGAGAGGGAGUUUUCUCGGCUUCUGCACUGCGUGCCUUUCGUCAUGCGGGACGACGAGGAUAAGGCCCGCAUCUUCGAGCGAGGGUUGCGACCGUCUAUCUUCCGGUUUGUGCAAUCCUCUAACCUCCAAACCUACCGGGAGGUGGUGGAUCGCGCGCUCAUUAUGGAGAGCAGCUCGGCGGAUGUCCAGGAGCAGCGAGAGGCUAGGGACAAGGGUAAGGCCAAGAGGCCUGCGGCUGAGGGUGCGAGCCAAACGCACUCUAGGAGGCCGCCAAAGCAUCCGAAGAGCCAGCAGCGUGGACGCGGCUCAGCAGCUCAGCAGGGAGGUUAUGAUCAACGCCGGCCCUCCCCGUGCGUGAUCUGUGGUGGUCCUCAUCACCCACCGCAGUGUCCACAGCGGGCGGGCAGGUGCUUCCAGUGUGGCCAGGAGGGCCACAUGCGGACUGAGUGCCUGAGGGGUUCUUCACCGGCACCGUCGACUGCAUCGGCACCGGCUCUACCAGCCGCCAGCCAGGGGACUCCGUCAGCAUAGUAUCAGCCUGGGCGGCCACCCGUCCAGCGCCAGAGUGAGGGAUCUCGUCAGGCCCCGAGCGGGCACAUGUACGCCACUCAGACCGAGGAGGCGGUAGCAGCCGAGGAUGUUGUUGCAGGUAUCAUUUUACUUGAUGGCAUUAGAGUUCGUGCUUUAUUUGAUACCGGUGCAUCGCAUUCAUUCAUAGAUCGGCUGUUUGCCGAGUUGUAUGGCAUCCCAUUGGUUUCUUUAUUGCAUACGGGACAUGUUGUUGUACCCAACCACGUUUUGGAUAUUAGAGAGUAUAGCCCCAGUUGCCCUAUUCGGAUAGGAGAUUGGAUUAUGCAUGUAGAUUUGCUAGCCUUGCGCAAGCUGGGGGAUUUUGACGUGGCCUUGGGCAUGGAUUGGUUGACCAAGUAUUAUGCCACGAUUGAUUGCAAAAAUCGCACGGUUACUUUUAGAGAACCUGGGCAGACUGAGGUGGUAUUUAGGGGAUGCCGGAGUUCGCUGUUUGCGAUGACGAUCAGCUCGUCUCGAGCUAGGCAGCUGAUCAGUAGAGGUUGUGUAGCCUAUUUGGCUAGUAUUGUGCUGAGGGGCGAGGAUGACACCCCUAGGAUUGAGGAUAUUCCGGUGGUGCGGGAGUUUCGAGAUGUGUUUCCAGCUGAGCUACCAGGUAUGCCUCCUGAUAGGGAGAUUGAGUUUGGGGUAGAUCUCGUCCCUGGGACUACCCUAAUCUCAAAGGCGCCCUAUAGGAUGGCACCGGCAGAGCUGAGGGAGCUGAGGGCACAGUUGCAGGAUUUGUUGGACAAGGGCUUCAUUCGACCGAGCGUCUUGCCUUGGGGAGCACCAGUUUUGUUCGUCAAGAAGAAGGACGGAUCGUUUCGCCUUUGUGUGGAUUAUCGCGAACUUAACAAAGUCACGAUCAAGAACAAGUAUCCGUUUCCGAGGAUCGACGACUUGUUUGAUCAGCUUCAGGGAUCGUGUGUGUAUUCCAAGAUAGACUUGCAGUCUGNGACAUGUUGUUGUACCCAACCACGUUUUGGAUAUUAGAGAGUAUAGCCCCAGUUGCCCUAUUCGGAUAGGAGAUUGGAUUAUGCAUGUAGAUUUGCUAGCCUUGCGCAAGCUGGGGGAUUUUGACGUGGCCUUGGGCAUGGAUUGGUUGACCAAGUAUUAUGCCACGAUUGAUUGCAAAAAUCGCACGGUUACUUUUAGAGAACCUGGGCAGACUGAGGUGGUAUUUAGGGGAUGCCGGAGUUCGCUGUUUGCGAUGACGAUCAGCUCGUCUCGAGCUAGGCAGCUGAUCAGUAGAGGUUGUGUAGCCUAUUUGGCUAGUAUUGUGCUGAGGGGCGAGGAUGACACCCCUAGGAUUGAGGAUAUUCCGGUGGUGCGGGAGUUUCGAGAUGUGUUUCCAGCUGAGCUACCAGGUAUGCCUCCUGAUAGGGAGAUUGAGUUUGGGGUAGAUCUCGUCCCUGGGACUACCCUAAUCUCAAAGGCGCCCUAUAGGAUGGCACCGGCAGAGCUGAGGGAGCUGAGGGCACAGUUGCAGGAUUUGUUGGACAAGGGCUUCAUUCGACCGAGCGUCUUGCCUUGGGGAGCACCAGUUUUGUUCGUCAAGAAGAAGGACGGAUCGUUUCGCCUUUGUGUGGAUUAUCGCGAACUUAACAAAGUCACGAUCAAGAACAAGUAUCCGUUUCCGAGGAUCGACGACUUGUUUGAUCAGCUUCAGGGAUCGUGUGUGUAUUCCAAGAUAGACUUGCAGUCUGGAUACCACCAAUUGAAGAUCAAACCCGAGGAUGUAUCGAAGACAGCUUUUAGAACACGGUAUGGACAUUAUGAGUUCACAGUUAUGCCGUUCGGGCUUACUAAUGCCCCGGCAGCUUUUAUGGAUCUAAUGGACUGUGUUUUCAAGCCUUAUCUAGACAGGUUCGUCGUAGUGUUCAUCGACGACAUUUUGGUUUACUCUCGAAGUGAUGCAGAUACGAGGAGCAUUUGAGAAUUGUACUCCAAGUACUUCGGGAAAAGGAGCUUUAUGCCAAGUUGAAUAAAUGUGAAUUUUGGCUUCGAGAGGUAGCCUUUCUUGGACACUUGAUUUCUGGAUCGGGUAUAGCCGUGGAUCCUAAGAAGAUUGAAGCAAUCAAGGAUUGGCCGAGACCGACGAGUGUCGCGGAGAUACGGAGUUUUCUUGGAUUGGCCGGUUACUACCGGAGAUUUGUCGAGGGAUUUGCAAGAUUAUCUACUCCCCUCACGAGGUUCACGCAUAAAAGAGUCAAGUUCAUUUGGAAUGAUACGUGCGAGCGAAGCUUCCGAGAGUUGAAACAAAGAUUGACUACCGCCCCGAUCUUGACCCUACCAGUAGCUGGAGCAGGGUAUGUGGUUUAUAGUGAUGCUUCACUUAAUGGAUUGGGCUGUGUAUUGAUGUAGGAUGGCAAAGUGAUCUCGUAUGCUUCUCGCCAACUAAAGGAAUAUGAAAAGAACUAUCCGACGCAUGAUUUGGAGUUGGCGGCCGUAGUGUUCGCAUUGAAGCUAUGGCGCCACUAUAUUUAUGGCGAGCGGUGUGAAGUGUACACGGAUCACAAGAGCUUGAAGUACCUGUUUACUCAGAAGGAGUUGAACUUGAGGCAGCGCAGAUGGUUUGAGCUACUCAAGGAUUAUGAUCUUACUAUUCUUUACCACCCAGGCAAGGCUAAUGUGGUUGCGGAUGUGCUAAGUAGGAAAUCGACGGAAAACUCAGCGAUGCAUUUGGUUACCCAACCGCAGUUGAUCGAGCAGAUGAUGCGGAUGGAGUUAGAGGUGGUGACUCCUGACACACCCUUGAGGUUGAUGACAUUGGUUGUGCAACCUACUCUUAUGGAUAGAAUUAAAGAAAAGCAAGCUUCCGACAUGGAGUUGCACAAGAUUCGAGAAAAAAUGGUUGAUGGUUGCACCGCUGAUUUCCUAGUGGACGAUCGAGGGUUGAUGCGUUUCCGCGGACGGAUUUGUGUACCGGCGGAUUUGGGAAUUAAACAGGACAUUCUUUAAGAAGCGCAUCGAGCGCCCUAUGCUAUACAUCCGGGAGGCACCAAGAUGUAUAAGGAUUUAAAGCUGCUCUAUUUGUGGCCCGGAAUGAAAAAGGACGUUGGCCAGUUUGUUGCUAGAUGUUUAACUUGCCAACAAGUUAAAGCUGAGCACCGAGUUCCCGCAGGAAAACUUCAGAGUUUGCCUAUUCCCGUGUGGAAAUGGGAGAAGAUCACCAUGGACUUUGUGACAUGAUUGCCUCGCUCACAGGCUAGGUAUGAUGCUAUUUGGGUGUUCGUGGAUAGGUUAACGAAGUCGGCGCACUUCGUACCCAUUCACACUACUUGGACCGGGGAGAAGCUCGCACAAGUGUACCUUGAUAAGAUUGUGCGACUUCAUGGAGUGCCUACUUCGAUUGUAUCGGAUCGAGACACCCGCUUUGUGUCUCAUUUUUGGAGGAGUUUACAGGACGCCCUAGGCACCCGACUGGAUUUCAGCACUGCUUUCCACCCCCAGAAUGACGGGCAGUCGGAGCGCACUAUCCAGACCUUAGAGGAUAUGCUCCGAGCAUAUGUGAUUGACUUCCAGGGAGGAUGGUCGCAGCAUCUACCUAUGGCAGAGUUUGCUUAUAACAACAGUUAUCAAGCAAGCAUCAAGAUGGCGCCAUUUGAAGCACUUUAUGGACGGAAGUGUAGAUCACCACUUCAUUGGAGUGAAGUAGGCGAGAGAUUGGCUUUAGGCCCUGAUGUGCUCCAGGAAGCUGAGGACAAGGUUCGAAUUGCUCGGGAGCGGCUUUUAACGGCGCAGAGUAGACAGAGGAGCUACGCCGACCGACGACGGCGAGACUUGGAGUUCCAAGUGGGAGACCAUGUUUUCUUGAAGGUCUCGCCGACUAGAGGAAUCAAAAGAUUCGGGAUUCGGGGAAAGUUGAGCCCCCGUUUCAUUGGACCGUAUGAGGUUUUGGAGCGUGUAGGUCCGGUAGCGUAUCGACUUGCUCUACCACCGAACCUAUCGGGCGUACACAACGUCUUUCAUAUAUCGGUCCUUCGGAGGUACAUUCAUGACCUAGCUCACGUUUUGGAGGCUAUACCAGGGGAGCUGCGUGAGGAUUUGAGCUUCGAGGAGCAACCAGUGAAGAUUUUGGCUCGCGAGUUGAAGAAACUAUGGAAUCGGGAUAUUCCGUAUGUGAAGGUUCUUUGGAGCAACCAUGGGGAGCGGGAGGCCACGUGGGAGUAGAGAGCGCGCUGCAGGAGCGCUAUCCCCAUCCUUUUCAGAUGGAGCCUUGAGGUAUGCUUUUGCUUUCGAGUUUCGUGGACGAAACUCCUUUUUAGGAGGGGUGAAUGUGACGCACUAGACCUUGCAAAUUGUGGGGUUCGAGUGAUUGGUUGUGUUCUGAGUUUUUCCAGACUUUCUGGUGGGUCGUUGACAGUGUUCCGACCUAUGGUUCGAGUCCCGAGAAUUGUGGUUUAAAGCUGUGUACCAAAAUCUAAAAAGUUAGAUUUUUGGUCAGCCCUCGGGUAGCCUUCGGCAGGCUGUGUACCGGUACGGGCUUGGUGGCUGUACCGGUAUGGGGUUGAUGGCUGUACCGGUACGGGCUCGCGUACCGGUACACAGACGUCUUUUUGGCCAAACCUGAGGCUCGGGUUUGCGUUUUCGUGGGUGGUGUACCGGUACACAAUUUUGUGUACCGGUACACAGUGCAGAUUGGGUCUGUUUCGCGGAGGGGUGUUUUUAUAAUUGUUGCAACACCUAUAUAUUACACCCCAGUCCCUUUAGAGGGCUUUCUUGUGCCCUAACCAGAGGAGAUAAGGUGAGACUCUCCCCCUUUGAUCUCUUCUCCAUUUUUGAGGGAUUUUGGUUGGUUUUGAUCUCUCCUCUCUUCUCCACCUUAUUUUUUGUUGGGUUUCCUCCAUUGUUGAAGCCUUAGAGCUUGGAGAGGAGCUUGUUUGAGAGGAGAUCUUCAACUCUACUUGGCUUAGAGCUUGGUUUGGGACAUCUUGUGAGGUGAGUACUCAUGAUCUCUCCUUUAGAGCAUGUUUUGGUAGUUUUCCUCUUUGGAAACUCUAGAUUUUGGAUUCUAGGGCUAGGAUUGGGAAUUUUUGAUUUGAGGACUUUGGAACCAAAUUGAUGGGUUUAGAACCUUUGUUUAGGUUUGAUUGGAAGGACUCUAGCUCCCAUUUGGAGAUUGAGAGAGCUUCCUUCGCAAUCGGUGAGUUUUCUUCAACCCUAGCCCGAAUUGGUUAAUGAUUGUGCAAUCUGUUGUUCGUUUCGUUUGGGUAACACUUGUUCCUACAUCCUUAGGAUACUAGGAGGCUAGUGGACACCUUCGUUCGGCGAAACGAAGAGUUCGAAAAAUCGGUGGGUUUGGCUUCAUGAUUUCGGGGCAAAAUGGCCCCUAUGAGUAAAAUACUUGUCUUUUUGUGAAAGUAACGCUUCUAUACUACUUAUAAAAGCGUGAGUUUUGAAUUUUUUCUCUUUCCAAAAAUGUCUCUAUCUUUUUUACUAAUAUUGUCAUGUCCAGUAAUUUUCAACUAUCCAUUUUAAAUAAAUCUUUAAAUAAUAAUUUAUUCUCAAAUAUAGAUUUUAAGUUUUCGCCAUUGGAUCUCAUCCAACCAAUAAAAAUGAAAGUAUCUAUCAUUUUUGUUGAUAAAAAUACCCUAUAUAUCCGUUAUCUCCCAUCUACGCCGCGUUUCUCAAAUAUUUUUCUUCUACCCACCAAUCAUGUAAUACGUAAAACUAAACUUAUCACUUAUCUAACCUAACAUAAUAUCCGCCAAUCACGUAAUACCUCUGCUAAUCACUAAAAAAAAUUAAUACCCGCCCAAUCAAAACUAAAUCGUUAAUUAAAUAUAAUUUUAAAUAUUUUUAGCAAAAUAUUCAAUGUUUAAAUAAUACCCACCAAAAUAUUCUCCGCGUUCUCAAAUAUAAAAUAUAUUUUAUCCAUUUUAAAUAAAUCUUUAAAUAAUAAUUUAUUCUCAAAUAUAGAUCUUAAGUUUUCACCAUUGGAUCUCAUCCAACGAAUAAAAAUAAAAGUAUCUGUCAUUUUUGUUGACAAAAAUAUCAUCCAUAUCCGUUAUCUACUAUCUACAUUACUCAAAUAUUUUUUUCUAUCCAUAAUACGUAAAACUAAAUUUAUUUCUUAUCUAGCGUAAUACCAGCCAAUCAUGUAAUACAUCCGCUAAAUUUAUUUCCUAUCCAAGAGUUUCCUCAAAUAUUUUUUUUUCUCAAACGUAAUAUCUACCAAAAUUAAAUUUUAAGUUUAUAAUGCCCGCCAAAAUUUAAUACCCGCGAAUUUAAUAAUUUGAAUUUUAAUUCAUGAUAGUAGAUUUUUCCUUACAUAAGAUAGUAGAUUUAAUUUUGACGAGUAUUAAAAUUUACGCGCCAUAAAAGUAUAGAAUAUUUCUAAAAAAAAUUAAUAUUUGUCCAAUCGUACAUCGUCAUCGUCUUACUCAUCAUCAUUGCCUGUGCCGGAACAUUGUCGCGUUCGCCACCUUCAUUAUAAUUAAAGAGGUAUUUUAAUUCCAUUUGAAUUUUUUUUUUAAUGUGCCUUUAUACUAUUUUAAUAUAUCUUUUUUUUUUAUUUUUUCUUAUUUUCACAAAUAUGUUUCUCAAAUAUAAAGUAUAUAUUUUUUAGUAAUAUAUUUUUUUUAUUUUUAUCUAUAUUUUUUUAAAAUAUUUUUAAAUAUAUUUUUUGUAAUAUACUUUCUCAUUUGUCAGCACUGGUACAUCGUCGUCAUCAUCGUCAUCAUCAUCACCGGCACCGACAUAUUAUCGCCUUCGCCACUUUCGCCGCCUUUGCACAAUUGAAGAGGUAUUUUGAUCCUAUUUGAAAAUUUUUCUUUUUUCAAUAUGCCUUUAUACUGUUUUAGUAUUUUUUUUAGUAUUUCUCAUUUUCACUUAUAUAUUUCUCAAAUAUAAAGCAUAUAUUUUUUUAGUAAUAUUUUUUUUCAUUUUUGCUAUUAUUUUUCUUAAAUAUUCUCAAAUAUUAAUUUAAUAAUAUCCUGUUUUAUUUAUCUCUGUCGUCGACACUGGUACAUCAUCACAUCACUGGCGCCGGCACAUUAUCCCCUUUGCAGAGGUAUUUUGAUUUCAUCUGAAUUUUUUUUUUUGUAAUGUGCUUCUAUGUUGUUUUAGCAUAUUUUUUUUAGUAUUUUAUCAUUGUUACCUAUAUGUUUUUCAAAUAUAAAACAUAUAUUUUUUUAGUAAUAUUCUUUUUUAUUUUUACCUAUAUUUUUCUCAAAUAUUCUCAAAUAUUUUUUUAGUAAUAUUAUUUCUCAUUUGUCCUCAUUGUCCGUACCAGAACAUCAUCAUCAUCUUCCUCAUCGUUAUCGUCGUCAUCAACGCUGACACAUUGUCGCCUUCGCCACCUUCUAUACUAUUACUAACUUCUAUACUAUUUCAGUUUUCUUAGAUGUUGUUAGAAUGAUUGUCCAAAUCAAUUACUCUUUAUUUGUCUGGUGUUAAUCGUCCUAAACUUGAAGGUAAAGUGUUUCUCUUUUUAUCAUUUCACAUGAAAAAAAUUAUUAAUAACUAAUUAUUUGGAUGGAUUGAAACAUGAAUUGGAUUAGAUUGAUCCGCUAUGACAAGAUAGUGCUAACACACAUUGGCAUAAAAAAAUUAUUAAUAACUAAUUAUUUGGAUGGAUUGAAGUAUGAAUCGAACUAGAUUGAUCCUCUAGGACAAGAUAAUGCUAACACACAUUGGCAUGUGGAGAGACGCUAUUGCAAACAAUUCAGUUGUUGUAUUAAAGCAGUGCACGUUAAUAUCGAUAAUUAGGAUAAAUAUACUUUUUAAUAUUUUAUUUUUUCUGUGGUAUUUUAAAUUUAUUUAUCAGAAUCAAUUUAUUUAGCAAAGUUUUGCGAGUAAAAUUGUGCUUAAUCCACCUAUUCCAAAAACUCAAGAAAUAAAAUUAAGCUAAAAAUUUUUACUUAUAUGAAUUCUUAUUAAAUUUAUAUUUUUUAUUAAUUUUAUCUAUUCUGAUGAUUUACUAAUAUUUACUUUAUUAUUUUUCUUACUUUCAGUGUAAUUUGUACGGAAGNNNNNNNNNNNNNNNNNNNNNNNNNNNNNNNNNNNNNNNNNNNNNNNNNNNNNNNNNNNNNNNNNNNNNNNNNNNNNNNNNNNNNNNNNNNNNNNNNNNNNNNNNNNNNNNNNNNNNNNNNNNNNNNNNNNNNNNNNNNNNNNNNNNNNNNNNNNNNNNNNNNNNNNNNNCAAACGGUAGAAAAUAUGCGGAUCCGAGUGGGUUCGGGACAUAAUUAUUAUUUGUUUUGUUUACUAAUUGUUGAUACAUCCGAGUGGAUUUUAUCGUUAUUAUUGACAGACAUGUUUUAUUUAUUUUGCACAUUAUUAUUAUCAUGUUCUAUUAUUGGAUAUGACUGUUGCGGUUGGAUUUCUCGGAGGAGAGGGAUUUAUCCGGUACACGGUUUUCGAGGAAAAACGGUGCGAAAUUGUAGCUCUCGCGGUUAGAGCGACGGAGUGGAGAUGCUCUAAAUUAUGACCUUUGUGGUUUCAAAUUUAAAUUAUCGUUAUUUUUGAAGUAGAUUUCUUGUUAAGCAUUGCGCUUACUUUUGUUGUCUACUAUUUCAGGUACCGAGAGUCGGGGCGUGUGAGAUAAUUGGCCGGCGAGAACUCGUUAGAUAGAUUUCAAAUUUGGGACAUAUGAUUUAUUUUGACAUGAGAUUGAUUAUAUGGACAUUUAAGAGUUAUUGUUUAGUUUCGUUUUAAUUAAUAAAUUAUUUAGUUUUUAAUUGAGAUGGUGUCUUUGGAUCAAUUUAAGGCCUUCCGUUUUCGGAGGUUCUUCCUUUGAAUUCGUGGCCGGUUGUUGCGGUUCAGAUCCGAGCAGUCGGAUCUGGGGCGUGACAGCUUUAGUUGUAUCAGAGCCUAGGUUAUUGACACCUUAGGGCAAAAUGACACCAUACUUAGGGAUUUAGGACGCGCGAGUGCGUGGGAUUCUUUUUGGACACGAGGCGAGGGUUUAGCAAAAUUUUAUGUCUUGAUUGUGUUCUGUUUUGUAGACGAUGCCUCGUUCUCAGAGGACUGACACUUCGCAAGCUAAUGUACCUGCUGAUCCUAUUCCACUGGGGGAUCUACCGCCAGAGAUGUAACACACUGAACCUAUACAAAUUGCGAGGUUCGAGUGUUCGAGCUGUGUGCUGAGCAAUUCCAGAUUUUCUGGUGGGUCGUUGACAGUGUUCCGACCUAUGGUUCGAAUCCUGAGAAUUGUAGUAUUUUAUAUAGCGCUAAGGUCACCAAAGAGUUGGACUUAGGCUACCCUCCGAUUGCAUUCUGCAUAUGGUGAAACCGGUGACACGUUGAUGGUUGUACCGGUACACAUUUUUGUACCGGUACAAGUUGAUGGUUAUACCGGUACACUUGUGCAGAAUUUCAAACCCGAGGCUCGGGUUUGCUGUCUCGCGGGAUUUGUACCGGUACACUUUUCCGUGUACCGGUACACUUUGGCAGAUUUUGAGCAGUUUGAACUGCAGGGGGGUUUUCACAAUUGUGCCACUUCUAUAUCAUCACCCACGCCCCUAGGGCUCCUCCUUGAGCUUGCCACUGCAGGGAGAAAGGUAAGGGGGCCCUCUCUACCUUUCCACUUGGAUUUUAUCUCCUUUUACCUUGGAUUUUGGUGGAUUUACACCUCUCUUUGCUCCUUUUGCUUGUUGAAGGCUUUUUCACCAUUGGAGUUUGGUCUUGGAGCUUGUGGAGAGGGAGAUCUCCACACUUGGAGGAUUUUGAACCUUGUUUGAUGCUUCGAAAAGGUUAGUAGCCCCUUCUCUCCCUCUAGAUUGAAGUUUUAUCGAUGGAUUUGGGAUGAAACCCUAGAAUGGAGAUUUAGGGUUUGUUUUGGGCAUUUUGAAUCUAGGACUUUUGGAGCUUGAUCACUUGGAUUAGAACCUUCCUCUAGGUUGAAUUGGAAGGGUUCUAGCUAUCUUUUGGAGCUUAGGAAGAGAUUUUGCACUAGAGGUGAGUUUUCUCCACCUUAGCUUGAAAAGCUUAAUGUUUGAACUUAGUGUUGUUCGUAAGGUUCAUGUGACUCUUGUUUCUUUACCUUUAGGGUACUAGGAGGGUGGUGGACACCUUCGUCGGAGCAAACGAAGGGUUUCGUUUACCUUGGUGGGUUUGACUUCAUGAAAACGGAGCAAAAUGGCCCCUAUGCUUUCUAAACUCUUCGUAAAGUAUUUUUGAAUGCCAAUCCAUGCUAAACAUGAAUUAUAUGAAUUUUAGAGCAUUUAAAAUGCAUGCAUUAUGUAUGAUGAAAAUUGCCCUCUAUAUAGUAGAGCCACCUGUGUAGACCGCAUGCAUUAUGAAAGGUAUUUAGCUUUGCAAGUUGAGAACAUGUUUCCUAUGUUUGAAAUGAAUAGAAUUAUGUGUCAGGAACAUAAAAAUACCAUGCUUGAACUCGUUGAACAAUAGUGUCAUAAAGGGGCACUUGAAACUAGAAAACCAUGAAAUUGCAACAUAGAGACAUGAUGACAUAGUGAUGGGCCAUCGUCACGGUUGAUUCAUAUUCCAUGUUUUAGACAUGAGGACUUGAUACUUGAGACAUACUGAUACGCAUGCUUGUCAUUGUGCUCAUUCGCACAUGCUUGUGAGGGUCACUCCCUACAAGCCGGCACUCCGGAGUUGGCCAUUGCGAUACGUUCGCCGUGCGGGAUUGGGCGCCGAAGUGGAUUGCCGUGGGAAAGGCUCAUUCCUAGGGUAGGGAUGUUGACUAUCACGGGGCCAUUAGGCACGGUAGAGCCAGACAGCCUACGGGUGGGUCUUAUGCCAGACAGCCUUCGGGUGGGUCUCAUCAGAGCUGAACUUUAAACAGUUAAAGUUACAAGAUGAUAUUGACUAGAGUAGUGGACAUUGACAUUAUAGCUAUUCACAUUGUGGACAUUGGGAUAGUUGUAUACUCAAGUAACGAAAAGCACAAGCGGAAACAUACAAAAACGGCUUACACGAGGGUAAGCAAUAGCCAUGAGUGAAAGAAAGGAACUAAACAUUUACACAAGUUCUAUGAUUCACUUUUGAUCAUAUACAUGUAUUCAUUUCAUCCAACUUAUACAUUCACAAGUCUUUACAUUUCAUUACAUCACUUGCAUCAUUUCUUUUUACAUCACAUUGCCUCAAAAUAAAACUUUACAUUCUUUUCUCUCUUUGCUUUAUACAUAGACAUCUUCAAAUAUAAAAGAUGGAUACAGGGUAAACUACUAGCAAAAAGCAAAACCCGACUCGGGUAGUCACUGUCUAUGGCGCGAUACCUUUACCGCGGUCGCUCGCCAGCUCGCUCGAUCCCGACUCUGUAGAAAUGAUGGGGUGAGAACUACAACAAAGUUUUCAGUGGGUUCGGCCCCAAUCUCACCGAUUUUUCCACUAGGUCUAACUCAGGCAUAAUAGAAAGAAAGCAGAUAAGUAACCAACUAUACAAAUGCAACUAAUAUGCCUAAACAAUGCGAUCAAUAAUGAUGCUCAAUAUAAAUUCAUGAAGAAUGCAUGGUUCUUGUUCUUUGUUUCUUUGUUCUUUCGUUCAAUCCCAAGGCUAACCCGGGGGUAUCGCCUCAAUAACUCACCAACUCAAAGUCCAUGAUCGCGGGCCCUCACCUUCCUCCCGCUAGGACCGUCCUUUGGGGAACAGCACCAACCCAAUGAUGACAAACUCCGGAGCGCAUCGCCCUAGGGGGAGCGACCACCCUCAGGCAAGGACUUAUAGGCAAGUAUGAUCAAUCCUUAACUCUAAGGAUAUUCAGUUCAAUCUGUUCCUUAACUCUAAGAAAUUUUGCACAAAUGACCCUUAGCUCUAAGGUUGUAUGUCAUUGUGUCUCAAUCUCAUAUUCUUUGCAUUCUUUACUUUGAUCAUGCAAAUACACUAACUCUAGUGUUCUUUACAUUCUUUACUUUCAUUCAUAUCAUAAUACUAACUCUAGUGUCCUUUAUGUUCUUUACUUUGAUUCAUAUCAUAACACUAACUCUAGUGUUCUUUAUGUUCUUUACUUGAUGCUAACUCUAGCAUUGUCAUUCUUUAUUGUCACAUAUUUGCUAACUCUAGCUUUUCAUCAUUCUUUAUAGUAUAUUUGUUCUCUUGAUGUCAUACACUAGCUCUAGUGUUCUUUAUAUCAUACGUUAUGCUAAGUUUAGCCUUUCGUUCUCAACAUUUCAUUGUCCUCAUGUCAUAUGUCACUUAUUCUUUAACUUUAUAUUGUUCUCUUCAUCAUACAUGCAUAUAUAGGGUUAUUACAAUCUCAUUGGUUCUCAACCAUCUCAUGAUGCACUUGAUCUCACAAAAUGCAAACAUUCACAUGAUUAUCAUCUCUUUACCCUACUAUGCAUGCAACAACAUACUCAUGGAUGCUCAAGAAGUGACACAUUAGACAUAAAAGGAAUUUCAACAAGUUUGAAAAGCACCCCCCACCUCGUAGGGUUACUUUCAUGCUACGAUGAUUUUCUUGAGAUUUUUAGACUCCUCGUUCGCUACCUCCGGCAAAACGAAGCCAAAUUAGACAUUUUUGCUCAUAACUUUUCAUAAACUUUUCGUAACGUAAAUCCGAGCGCACCAACGCGUUCGUUUGGUCCCCAGUUAGGUUUCUAGAGGGUCAAUUUCACUUUGAAACCCUCACAAGCAAAAGCCCCAAAUUUGGGUGCCCUAGCUUCACAUAUAUCAAAACCUAGGGUUUGAUCUCAUUAGGAAGCGAAAGAAGCUUCAUUAUACUCUAGAGAGUCCAUCUAAAUCAUUCUUAGCUCAAUCAAAACCCUAGUUUGGGUUUCACCAUGAGAGGUUGAAGUUCACCUCACAGCUUCUUCAUAUAUACCCAAUCCAUGGUUUUGAUCUCUUAGAGAAGCAAAAGAGAGCUUCAAAUACUCAAAAGGUUCUACUAAAACCAUUUCUAGGUCAUUUGGUUCUCAUUCUAGGGUUCUACCAUGAAUGGGAUCAAAGCUUACCUCAAAGCUUCCCUUUCUUUGCUCCAAAGAGGAACACUACAACAAAAUAUGCGUUUAGUGGCAAAUUAAUAGCGGCGAUUAUGAAAUGGCUGCUAUUGAUCAAUAUUUGAUUAUACUUUAGUGACAAUUAUUUUAAAUUAUAAAUUUUUACCGACCAAUAUUAAUGUAUUAACUAUGCCUAUUCUAAAUCCAAUUAGGAAUCCUAAUAAUAACCCAAACCCGAGCCCACCCCAACCUAACCCGAUCCCACCCCUCUCCACCACCAUCACCUCCUCUCCGCCUCCCUCCAAUGGCGCCGCUCUCUCAAGCUCGAAACCCUAUCAUGCUUCCCCUCUCCUUCACCUCUCCUCUCUCCUCCCUUUCCUUCACCUCUCCGAUCUUUCCUCCUAAAUCGCCGUCGACCUCGCGUGCACCGGCGCCCGAUCUUCCUGGCCCCUCGUGCACAAGCGCCCGAUCUCUCCUCCGUCUCCUUCUCUUCGGCGCCCUCCGAUCCCUCCCUUCCCCCGCGUCGCCGCUUCUUGAAGGUGCGUCGCGUGACAGGUCGCCGUCACCAGCGACGUCUUGUCGUCGUCGGAGGCGGCGGCGGAGGAGGAGGCGGCGGCGGCGGCGAAGAUCGGGCGGUGGAUCCGCGUGAAGGCGCCGCUCAGGGUGUACCACGUGGCAAAGGCGCCGGAUCUGGAUCUGGGCGGGAUGGAGGGGACUAUCAAGCAGUACCACGGCGUGGGGAAGGGGAAGCGCAUCAACGCCAAUCUCCCCUUCAAGGUCGAGUUCCUGAUCUGAAUCGACGGCCAGGAUAGCCCUGUCAAGUUCUUCGCCCACCUCCGGGAGGACGAGUUCGAGUACGUGCCCUCCUCCGAUGGCCCUAAUUGAGAUCGCCCUUUUUGGGGUUUGUAUCGGUGAGAUCGGGGAACAAACACUAGCUCCUCCUCCUCCUCUUCCUCUGCAUAUUCAUAUCCUGAUUCUUUGGAGUUUCUUGAUAUCGCAGAUAAUUACGACGCUUGCCACUGCGGUAGUCCGGUGGAUUAAACUCUCAUUGCAAGGUGGUAUUUUAUAUCUUUUUAUUCAAGGACUAUUAUUAUUUUUUAUUUAUUAUAUCAUUUUUUUUCCUUUUUUAUUUUACUAGAAUAGAUUAUAUUUUGGUUCUCAAUCUAUAAAACGUGUGACAUUUGGUUCUACUAUUUUGAAUUCUUCGGUUAACUUCAUCAUAAUAGCAAGGCACUUCUACUUAUUCAUCAACCAAGUGAACCAUGUGUAGAAUAAUGAGUGGUUCAAUCACUGUUAGCAACUAGAUUGUUGGUUCAUUCCAUUAGCUCUGAUCUACACUUACAAAAUUAAAGUACCGUUUAUUGAUUCCAUUGGUUAUGAGUAUUUUAGAGUUUCUUAAUUCUUUGGCACAUUGGAAUCAUGAUUUUGCGAAUGACGCUUCAAGCUAUAUGAAGCACAGAUUGUUUAGGUAUUUGGCCUGGUAUCUAAGUACUUACAGUGGUCUUUUUGAUAUGAUUUUGCAUAUGUUAUUUUACUAGUUUAUAACUAUAUAAAGAAGCUUCUACUAUAAUUGUUCUCAUCUUACAUCUCUAUGAAUCUCUCAUAUUAUGCUCUUUGUUGUGGAUUGAUCAACCUCUUUCUUCGAUUAAUUGGUGAGUUUGGCAUGAAAUUUUGGUAACUAAUAGUUUAAUGUAGUUGGAACAUGCUUUUGCUUGGAGCUUUUGAUGCUUGUGGUUUUUUGGUUGUAUGAGUGAGUCUAAAGACUACUUUAGGUGAUUUUUUUGCAAGCGAAUGUGAAUGUUGAGAAUUGGUUGAGUUGAUUCUAUUAAUGUUAUGUCUCACGAGUCUCUUGGUCACUACUUUUGCUGAGUAAAGUAUUGCUGGUGUGUUAAGUUCUGGACUUUGUGCUUCCAAAACAAUAAAUUUAUCACUAGAUGAAUCACCCUAUGUUAUGACUUGAGAAGUCAAGUGUCAGAUCCUUGUCUAGUCAUCAAUGUAGCAUCUUGCGGAUUCCAUACACCACAGCCGCUAGUAUAUUGUACUUAAUGUGGCUUCCUAAAUGAAUAGUGGCAGUGACUAGUGCUUAUUAUGACUUGAGAUGUCAAGUGUGAUAUCCUUGUAUAGUCAUCAAUGUAGCAUUUUGAGGAUUUCAUACAUCGUAGCUGGUGAUAUAGUUUCUUCACAUAGAAAGCUUUCUAUAUGAAUAGUUGCAAAUUUUAUUAGCAUAACUGGUUUAGCUAUUACAUCAAAGGUAAAUUACAUCUUUAUUGAUAUGCCGCUUGCCUAGAAUGUACUUCACACAGAUAAAUUGUUCUCCUCUUUCUUUCAUCUUAGUUUAAAUAUCUCUCUUAUGUGUAGGAUAUUUGUGGACCUUCCUAACGCUGGGAACCGAACGAAAAUCCUAAAGAUUAUUUGUAAUAUGUCGAAACCCGACUACAUUGCUAAUCUUGAUCAAAAUGACCAAGAUGAUGCAAAAAUAGAAAUUAAAUGCUUCCAAAUUAAAUUGGUAGCUUGGGCAUAGAGUUUAGCAUGUUUUGGAAGUGUUUGGAUGAAUUCGGAGUGAGCUGGAUGUGAGAAACGAGCUGCCAAAGCUGCUGCUGCCAGCAGGGACUGAAUUGCGAACCUGCAGGGACUGAAAUGUAAACUGUAGUAUUGUAAUGCACUUUUGCUGAAUUGAAGGGUUAAAGAGCAAUUGUUUGUUCUUGCCACUUAACCCCAGCCCCCUAGAAAAUGUCCACGUACCAGCACCCCUCUCCAAUGCUUCUUUUCAUUUUUUUUUUCCUUUCUUUCUCUCUCAGCCCUUGGAGCAGAGAAGUGAAGAAAAGCUUGUGAAGUUGAGUUUUCUUGUUGUUGGAGCUAAGAAGAAACUCUGUGGGACUGAAAAGAAGGCUUUUGGAGCUGAGAAAUCCCUUGGGGAAGCUUUAAAUCCAGGUAAGCUUGAUGCCUAAUUCCCUGGUUGAGUAGUAUUAGUGAUUGUGAAGCUGAUUUCCAAAGUGAUCUUGGUAGACUUGGGUUUUGAACUUGAUAGGAGCUGCCGAAGUGGGAAACCAGCUGAGGAAGCUUGGAGUUCGAGGUAGAAGACUUGCUUCUCAGCUAGGAUAAAGGGUAAUUGCUUCAUAGAAGCCUCUAAAUGGUUAAAAUUGAUGUAUGUAUGCAGAAAUUCAAGUAGAAGCUGUUGGUGGGAUGCCUUGUGGAGGUUUUGGGCGCCCAGAUUGAGAGAGGACCUGAGGGAGCUUCUUUGGUGUUUCGAAUUUCAGAAAAUCUGGUGGAGCCUUGAAGCUAGGUAAGAUGGAUAAUUAUUCCUUGGUUUAAGUGAUAUGAAUUACUCAAAAAUGGAAUUGUAAAUAUUAGAAUCACUAACUUUAACCUUGUAUAAAGGGCUGAGAGGGGAAAUGUUGAAGUGCUGAAAUUACAACUUUGGUGGAGCUUCUUUUGGUGUUCUGAGCUGAAAGGAAGCUUUAGAAAGCUGAGAGCAACUUAGUAAAGCUUCUAAUUCAGGUAAGAAUAGUGUCUAUCCCUGAAUUGAGUAAUGUUGGGUGUUAUAAAGAUGAUUCCUGUAACGUAUCACUUCCCCGUAAGUCGUGCCGAGUUCCGUCGAAAUGAGCGGAACGCGGAAAUGGAUGAUUUACUAUAGGCUAAAGUGCAUUGGAGUCUAUAUAUGAAGUAUAAAGGGACUCAAGAGAGUGAAACUGUAAUUCUGGAGAAGUUCCAAAAAUUUUACUCUCGGGGACCGGUCCCUUGGGUGAGAGACCGGUUCCCGAAUGUUGAUCAGUCGAACGAGGUGAAAAAUCAGCAAAGUCCUAGAAAUUGAGCUCUCGGGAACCGGUCCUUCGGCGGGAGACCGGUCCUAGGAGACCGGUUGCGUCGGGGGGAGACCGGUCCCCUUCUGCGCAGAGUGCAGGAUAGCUCUCGGGAACCGGUCCCUGAAGGGAGAGACCGGUCCCCGAGCCCGAAAUUGCCCAGUGAGGGCUGGUUGCAGAGAUGAAAAGUUGAGGGGUUUAAGUGCAAAUGUUACAUGAGAUGGUUGUAUAGAGGUGAGGGUUAGGGUUAGCCCUCAUUUCCCUCACACCUAAACACAAGCCUUCCCUCUCUCUCUCUAAAAACCUCUCCUCUCCCUCUCCCUCUUUCUCUAGGGCUUGGACUAAGAGAGGUUUUGGAGGAGAAAAGUUUGGAAAAGAAGCUCUCCAAGGUGUAGAGCAAGCUUGAUCAAGGCUUUGAAGGAAAGCUUUGGGCUCAAAAAGGUGAGUUCUUGUGAUUUUAAGUUAGGUUUUGGGUUUUUGCUUCUAGUUGAAGCAUUUAGGAAUGUCUAUGGUGGUUUUCCUCCAUGUUUCGUCAAGCUAGGGGCUUGAUUGGAAAAGAUGACAUUGUGCAAGGACCUAUAUUUAGGGUUUUAUAAUUUUGAGGUUCAAACUUGGAUUUGAUCUCAUUUUAACCUAAUUGGUAGGUCUACGAUCGCAUCGGUGCGCUCGGUUCGGCGAUACUACGAGCGUGCGUGAAGAUAUUAAGAAAACAAGCUGAAAUAAUACAGAUCGUCGUAGCUCGCGGCGAACAAGUUUAGAAAUCGUGAAACCUGGACCACGGCAUCCUUGUGACACAUAAAGGUGGCGGGUGCUAUCCGGAAACACCGGAUCUCUUUCUAUGUCUAUGUCCCUUCUUUGAGCAUAUUAGUAUUAUAGCAUUUUUGCAUGUAGGGUAAUGAACAGCAUAUGUUGGUUGUAACAAUUAUCUGCGAAGAUUAUUGUAAUGAUAUAGAACCAUGUGAAUAAGGAAAGUGAAAGACCCUAUAUGCAUGUGAAUGUGAGAAAUGAUUAUGACCGUAGUAAACAAAGACGACAUUGAUAUUAGUGACUCUAUUGACAUCGAAAAGAGAAUAGUUAAACAAGGUUUAACCCGAGUGACAUUAUGUGUAUUGUGGCAUUAGGACCAUUAUGACAUCGGCAAAUGAUAGUAUGUGCAUGAAUAGGUAUUAACCAUUCAUCGGCAUUGAGACAGUGAGAAUUGUGACAGGUUGGCCAAACCUCCUCAAAUUGAGGAUGGGAUCAUACUCACAUGUAUUGGUUCCGGCUUAUGCGAGGUCGCUCCUCCACAAGCGGUGUACUCCGGAGAAGAAAAGCACCACGGGUGGAAGUGCCCGGCGAAGAUCCUUCAGGUGGUUGUGCCUUGUGUCUCCCCCGUUAGACAGGAUAUGCGGACUGUGUGUUGGGAUAAACCAGGAGCACCCCAGGUUGAUUGGGUAAAGGCCAAAGGAAUGUGAAAAGGACAUGCAUGCAUAAUUAUCAUGUAUUUGAAUAUGAAUAUCUAUUUGUGGAUUACUUUCUUGCAGGCAUUGUAUUAGAAGUGCAUUAGUUGGUUUGUUAUUCUUCUUUAUUGAAAUACAUAUGCCUGAAUUAGACUGUCAUACACUGAACUUUUGCAAAUUGCGAAGUUCGAGUAUGUGGAAUGGUGUGUGGAUCAAUCCAACAUGUUCUAAAAGGUUAGAACAAAUUUUUGGAUAAGUUAGAGGAUGAUUGGAAUGUUAAAAGUGAGAAAUUAUAUUGAUCUGCGAAAAUCAGGGUUUUCUGCUUGCUGUACCGGUACAGCCAUCACCUUGUACCGGUACAGCAUUGGCAGAUUCGUGGCAGCAGGGCUGUUUUGGUCAUUUCACACUUGAUCCCUAUCUAUUAGACCCCAGCUCGACCUGGGAUACUCAGUGGAGCCUGCUGGAGUCCAGAGAAGUGUUCUCCCAUCUUUCUCUUUCUCUCUCUCUAGGGUUUUUCUCUCUCUANNNNNNNNNNNNNNNNNNNNNNNNNNNNNNNNNNNNNNNNNNNNNNNNNNNNNNNNNNNNNNNNNNNNNNNNNNNNNNNNNNNNNNNNNNNNNNNNNNNNUGAAGAGAUUGCGGAACCGUGAGAUUCCCUAUGUGAAGAGUGCUUUGGAGCAACACGACGAGCGCGAGGCCACUGGGAGUUGGAGAGCGCACUGCGGGAGCGCUAUCCCUAUCUCUUUCAGAUGGAGGCUUGAAGUACUUUACUUUUUGAGUUUCGCGGACGAAAACUCCUUUUUAGGAGGGGUGAAUGUAAUACACUGACCUUUGCAAAUUGCGAGGUUCAAGUGAUUGCUUGUGUUUCGAACUUUUUCAUACUUGGUGAGGUGUCACGCCCGGGUCGAUUUUAAAAGUCUUUUUAAAACAGAGUUGCGGAAAACGUGCCAUUUUUUUUUUUGAAAAUACCGUCUUUCUCAACCUGGCCACGCGACGUACAGACCCGCACAUACAAAGUUCCUCUGUCACUAUCGGACAGAGUCUCCUUUGUAUUGGCACGGCGUACCAACAGAUACAACAGGAUCUCAACCAAACUCUACAUUUAAACCAACAACAACCAAAGCAUGAUAUGCAUUUUCAUACAGCUAACAAUCCUUAGAAGAUGCAUGCCUCUAAGCACUCCUUAGGCGCUGGAUGAUGUAAUGCACAAUACAACAAACAUCCUAUUUAAAAGUGCUCCCACACGGAAGCUUUUGUUUUAAACUCUAAUUCAUUCAUUCAUAAAAACCGUUCGAAACCUUUUUAAAACUGUUUCCCACACGGAAACUCUAUUUGAAAACCGACUACCUCGAGGGGUAGAAAACCACGAUGCAUAACUACAAGAAAACCAAAUCUCCACAGAACGCAAAACCACAGAUCGAAAAUCCAAUCUCAUGUAUAAUAAAACAUCCAUAAUCUCAUGCAUAAACGGAAUCACCACAUUAACAUCUAACUGAACCAUUUAUUAAGAAAACUACUAAGUGCGGGAAAGAAAUAACCAGGGUGACGGUCGCUACUGCCGUCUAACUAGAUCGUCUCUCGUCGAGCCCGAAAUCCAACUCCUCGUCUCUGUAACCUGGGGGGGGGAAAGGGGGUGAGAAACCGCAACCAUGGUUUUCUCAGUGGGUACGACAGAGCCACGAAGGCAAGUCGUAAUCACCGAAACCAAAGGAGAUAGAUAAACAAGUAUAUAACUGUAAGCUGAUAUGAAAUAGAACUACAGUAGCUACAACAGAUAAAUAGGAAGCAAUAAUAAACCUUCUACUGUAUAGAAAACAAUGCAAAGAAUGCCUCAAUGUACUGAACCAGAAACUGUACCCAAUCUGUGCUGCUGAUCGGUUCGUAGACCUCAAGCGCUACAUGUCCUAACUCAGACCGCCUGAUCCAUCCGCCCCCGCAGGACGACCUAUCCGGAUAAGUAACCUCCGAUCGGUGGCCAACCGAUACCGGUGUCAUGAAUACCCCAAGUGCCGUGACUAAGUCAUGCUGGUAAUGCUCAACAAAAACAAACCCGACUAAAAGCCGUGCCUAGGCCGAAGCCAACAACGAGGGCGUACAAUGCCAAAUGAAAUAAAAGCUAGGGCGUACAACGCCGAACCGAAAUAAGAUGCUAGGGCGUACAACGCCGAACCUCGAUCAACCAGAUCGAAACACAACCACAAGAGAGUCGAUGUGUUGCCUGACCCAAGGUCCACAGAGAUACUGAAAUACAAAUGCAACCUGCUCUACAUGUCUAUCAUCACUAACCCAUGGCAGUCAACGAAAUACGAUAGCCAAAUGAUACCAAACACUGACAUGUAGAGCUAAUAUACUGGAAUAGAAAAACAGGAAGAAGAGGUGAAACUCUCACCGACUACCACUCGAGAGCACCACCUGUCACUGUCGGCUCGGAACACGGAGUACGCACAAGUCUACCGGACCUAAGAAGAUCCACACAAGUCAGUAUCCAAACCACUCACCCAAAGCACGAGACUCACAACCCCCACAAGGAUCCCGUAAUCGGUUUCCCAAAACCGAUCCCGUAACUCACGGAAGUCCCGAAAACACACACGGGACGCCGUCGGGACCGCACUAAGUGUCCGAACUCACACGACUCGUACCACGAGUCACCUGCUGCCCCAACAUUCCAAUUUGGAUUGCCCUGGCAGUGAAACACAAGGUAACACAACAAUACGGUCAUCGCCGGAUAAUCGUACGAAUCCGGGUUUCCGGAGUGUCUAUUUCGACACGAAACCCUCCGUCGCUCACCCAUCAUCAUCGACACCACAAAAUGAUGAUGGUGACCAGCAACAAGGCUCAGCGAUGAAACCACGAAGCAAAACCAAACACCGUCGGAAAGAAUCCGAACCGAAACGCGCGUUCUUUCGGCGAAUUUCGCCGAAAAACGCACCGAAAUCGACUACGAUUCUCGCGAAAGCUAACGGACCAUGACAAUCAGUCGAGCGAUCAUAACAAACUCCCACACACUGCCCACAGUAGCCACGCAAAGCAGCAAUCGCAUAAAGAGACCUCUAAUUAACAUAAAUAAUCGUCAUUUUAAUGUAAUUUUGAGGCGAUCAAGCGGCUCGUUCACGCAAACCGAGGACUUCAAGUCCGCAGAGACACGUACUGACAGGUCUCGACGUACCGGAGUCGGUGCUCACGAUCCGGAGCACAGCGGCUCGCUGUGGGAAGCGCGGGAGCAACGCCGAAGGUUCAGCGAAUAGCGCGCAGUCAGGGAGAUCGCGCCGAACAGAAUAACCGGACACUUCUGAUCCAAGGGAAGGUGAGCUUGUGAUCAGCACUGACCCACGAUCACCGUGCUCAACCUCCGGAGGCAUCAGGACAGCCUCGGAUCGCCGGGUAAGCGUGCGCAAGCCCAAAUCAGCAGCCCAAACAGGCUGAAAGGAGCGCAGCGGAUGAUUGACUCGAGGCCGAGUCGGGUGGUUAGCUUGAUUAGGUUAAUAGAAACCUAAAGGUAAGAGCUGAGGUAAUAGAAACCUUAGAGUAAUGUGAAUUUGAGUUGUGAACUGAGGUAAUAGAAACCUUAGAGUAAAGAAAUAUGAGCUAAGGUACCUAAGUAAAAGUAGAAUUCAAAUGAUCUACUAGAUGUUGCAUAGAGUUGAAUGACUUGCAUAUUGCAUAUUGUUAGGUCUAACAUGUAUUUCAAUUGAAUAUAUUUGCAUUGUAUAUUGUUGAACUAACAUAUUGCAGGGCCUUCUUAGACCUUUUGGUCGAGCUUUUCCCUUGGGUGGCCGUACCCACUGGGAACCAUGGAGUUGGUUCUCACCCCACGUUGUUUUGGGGUGUUUACAGGUUGUACGAGUGCGGCGCGGCGGCGCGAGGCAAGGGCGUAGCUCCGUAGAUAGCGCCCUACCCAGAGACUAGAGCUAGCAGUACCCCGUCGACAUAGCUUAGGGGUUAAGGAAUGAAAGGAACAUAAUAUAUCAAAUUUGUAAUGAGUAAUUUGUAAUAACUAGAUUGCAUUUGGAUGAAAAAGAAUGUAAAAAGAAUUGUAAUGUAAAAAUAUGUGAAUGUGAAUGUAUGUAAUAAUAUAGGAUGUGUUAUGUUGUUGAUACCUUCCUUAUGCAAUCUGUUUGUUGAAUACUGUUCCUGGUUGGAACCUUCGUAUUGUAUUGAUUGCGUUGCCUUAAAUGUACAGGGGAAACCCUGUCCAUUCGGUGCUGUCGGCGGUGUCGCGAACCUGACCAAAGAGGCGGGGGUCGCGGGUCGUGACACAUAUGUUAUCGAGUUAUUGAUUCUCUUGCAUAAUCGUUUAGGUAGAAUUUGAAGAGGAUUGUAUAAAGAACCAUGAUUGUUAAUCUAUUUUCUUUUCCUUUUCUUGGGCUGAUUGCAAAUUUAGUUCCUAGAGUUUAAAUUGAUUUCAAUCUUUUGUCCUUACAGCUACAUUUGUAGCAAUUUAGUCCACAAUCUUUGCAGCCCACAAUAGUCAAAUUCUUAUGUUAGUCUCCAGUCUGAAAUAUGAGCAAACUCCACAUACUAAAUUUUUUUACCUAAUCUUUCCUUUAUAUAAUUUAAGGAGCUCUUGUAGUUUAAUUAUGCUUUUCUACUCUGUAAGUUCUUGUCAGAGUAAACUUAAUUUAAAAUGAGAAAGAACUACAAAAGCUCAAUUGUACAUUCAUGCCCAAUAUAUAUGAACAUGAUAGACACAUCAAUUUAAGGAUUCUAAACUCUUAAAAUCAACUACAAAAGCUUAAUCUCGUAGUUGAUCAAAAUCCCAAUUUUUGAAGCCUCGUAACAUGCAACUAACUCAUCAAAACCUCUUAAAAAUAAAAGCAAUUCAUAUAACUAUGUAUUGGUCCCUAAAUUCAAGUAGAAAGAACUAAAAGUUAAUUAUCAAAAAUCUCAUUUUGGGCUCUUAGGGUCCCAACCCUAAAAUCACAAGAAAAUUUCGUAAUAGGGCAAAAACCCUCAAUUUAGGACUUCAAUAUUUGAAUAUAGUGUCAUAAAAUCUUCAAAAACUAUAACCAAUCCAUAAAGGAUAGCUUGGGACCUUCAAAGAGAAUAGAAAAAUAUGCAUGCAACUCAAAAUAUUCAUUCUUUGAUACUCACAAAGCACCAAACCGAAAAUUUACUUUGUUCUCUAGCUAGAGUUUCAACUUGAAUAUGGGUUUCCUUCUCCAAAGGUUCUGCUCCUAAAUCCCUUCAAUUUGAAGGAAAAAUCCUUCAUCUCAUUACCAAGUAGAAGAGAGGAGAAAUAGGGUAUUGAGAGAAAGGGGAAAAUGGAAGAAAAGAAGAAGGGAAUGGGGAUAGAAGAGUUUUUCUCUUCUUCCAUUCAAACCAGCCCACUUAAGGGCGUUUCUAUAAUUUUACUCAAUAUUUUCUUGGGAAAAAUUAUGGUUGGACCAAUAGUUAACGAGCUAAAUUGAUAAGCUAUAAUUUUAAUUAGUAAUUUUACCAAACUACCCAUAACAGUUGGUGAAAUCCUGAACAAGCUCGCAGCUCAGGGCUGUACCGACGACUAUUAGAAAAAUUGCAAUAACUCUUUCGUCCGAUAUCCGUUUAAGGUGAUUCAGGUUACGUUAGAAAGAUAACUCGACGAUCUUUCCAACAAGACCAAUUUCGCCUGAAUCGGAUGUCGAUAACCUGGUUAAAAGUUUUCCCAAAGUGGCUGGUGGUGCAAUAACAGAUUAGACUCAACUGUUUUGAAAUUUUCAUCCUCAAAUAAUUCGUUUCGAAAUUUUCGUCCUCAAAUAACAUUUGUAAUUAAGCUUUUAAUUGUUGCAUAAAGAGUAGUCUGAUAAUUAAGCAAUGGAUAUUUAGAAAAAGAAAAAAAAAACUCAAAACAAUAAACCUAAAACAGAAUCAAAUUAUACAAUUAGAAUGCUUAAUUAGUUCAAUGCAUACCAUAUAUCAUAGUUCAAUGAACACCCUGUUUCAUAGAUUUCAACAAUUUUCUCGAUUAAACUUGCGUGUCGGAUCAAAGAUAAGACGAAAGUUGCCCAUUCCAAACAGAUUUGAGUCUAAUAUUGAAAUUCUUGGACUGAUUCGGCGAGAUAAAUGCGAUAUUGCGAAGUUAUCAUAUCCAAUCACACAAAUGCUGCAACAAAUCAUCAAAACAAGAAACGUGUAAGGAGAUUUAGCGAUUAGGGCAUACAUGCAAUCCGGAGAUCGUAUCCCAGCAGGAUAGGGGCUUGAUCCCCUCAUCGUUGUAGAGGUUUUGGCAGAGCGAGAGCUUCUUCAAGUGAGAGAGAAGCGCGACGCGGGGAUCGAGCUUGGAUAGGCGAUUGGCCGUGAGGUCCAACUCCUCGAUGUUCUCGGGGAUCUCGACCUCUCCGAGAUCGUGGAGUUGGUAGCUCAUGAGAUCAAGGCACCGCACCUCCUCCUCCUCGACCUCCUCCUCCAUUGGCUCUUCGUCUCUAGCAGCUCGAGCUCGAGCUCGUGGUGAAAAAAAGAAAAAGAGAGAGAGAGAGAGAGAGAGAGAGAGAGAGAGAGAGAGAGAGAGGUGAACAUAAAGAGCUCAGAGAUGGAGAUCGAGGGGAGAGAGAGAUAGAGAGAGAGGUUAUUUGAAAUAUAGGGAGAGCUAAUAUGAAAAGUGUUUAUUGCCCAAGGUUGGCCCAUGGCCCAAUUGAUGGAAAAAGUUAAUAAAAUAUAGUCCCAUUGGUCCAAUAUUAUUUAUAAAUUUGAGAACUAUCAUCAUAUAUACCAGCGGUUUAGUAACUGCUACAAUAAAAAUAAAAAACGUUGGUAUAAUAUACUUUUAGCGGUAGUUAGCCUAAUUGUUGGUAAAAAAAUUGUUGGAAGAAGCUCUAUUUAUUGUAGUGAGAGACUGGUCCCCCCAGUGAGCAGUGUUGCGGCGGCCUUGGGGCAACCGGUUCCUGACGGGCGAGACCGGUCCCCGAGCGCGUCCACGCGGGGAGAGACCGGUCCCGAGCGGGGAGAGACCGGUUCCCGAACGUCGGGUUUUCGAGGCAGGCUGAGAGACCGGUCCCGUGCAGGGAGAGACCGGUCCCUCUGGGCGAAAAUUGCCCAGACCGGACUGAUGCAAUAUUGGAUUUUUGAGGGCCCUCUUUGGAUUUUGUUACACUAGAGGGCAUAUAUGGCUACUUCUUCCUCUCUUCUCCCUCAUUCCACCAUUCCCUUUGCUCCUAGAGAGAGAAGAAAAAGAAGGAGAGGAAGAAGAAAAAGGAGAGAGCUUGUUGGACGCUUGGAACUUCACCCACACUCUCUCUUCUUCCUUUUGGUGGCUUGGAGCUUGGAUUUGGAACAUUGUUGAGGAAAGAUCUUGGAACCUAGAGGGUUUUGAACCUUGAUUAAAGCUUCUAAGAGGUAGGUAACUUGUUCUUUCCCCAAGAUUUCAUAAUUUGAAGGGUUUUAGUAGAUGGAACCCUAGAAUGGGAAUUUAGGGUUGAUUUUAGGGCUUUUUGAUUUAGGGCUUUUGAGGCUAAAUUUCUUGGAUUAGAACCCUCCUUUGGGUUAGAUUGGAAGGAUCCUAACCUUCUUUCGGAGCUUGAGAAAGAUUUUCUACUCCCUAGGUGAGUUUUUGCCCUAUUCUUGUGAUUGUUAAUGUUUGAGCCUAGAGUUGUUCGUAACGCUUGUGUAUCUCUUCGCUCAUUACUUUUAGGGUAUUUUGAGACUCGUGGACAACUCCGUUCGGCGGAUCGGAGGACACUGCGACGGUUCGGUGGGUUUGACCUAGCCUGGCAUAUGAGAAAUCCUCAUAUCUCAUGUUUUAUGCUCGUAGAGUAAAAAUUCAUGCAUUACCAUGAUAAACAUAUUUAUUGUGAAUUUUAGGAUGCGUAACAUGCCUAUAUUAUGUAUAAGAAGUUUCGGGCCCCUAUAUAGCAGAGGGCUACCUUGUGGGACUUGUACAUGAUUGGCAUCCUAUUGAGACUUGGAAUCAUAUUUCUUAUUGUGAAAAGGAGCAUUACCUUCAUGCAUUUUAAACUAUUUCUACUUGAGACUUAAAGGAUUUUAGUAAGCCAUAAAGAGGCAUAUGACAAGAUUGACAUGUGAGAUCGUGAGCUAAUGUCAUAAAGCGGCAUUGAGCUCGGGUUGUUUGUGAACCUAAUGGAUAGGGCCAUUGAGAGAAUUGGAACAUGUUGUGCAUCGAAAUGUCUAAGUGUCAUAAAGGGGCACUAGACCUAGUGAGAGUUGGAACUUCACCUUGAGACAUAGAACUAGAUCGUUGGAUGCUAGUGGCUAUUACCAUGCUAGAGACAUGAUGAUUGGAUACUUGAGACGAUGAUUUCACUUGCUUGCCAUUUGUGCUCAUUCGCACAUGCUUGUAAGGGUCGCUCCCUACAAGCCGGCACUCCGGAGUUGGCCUACGCGACUUAUGUUUGGGCGUGCGGUAUCGAGAAACCUAUGGGGUCGGGAGGGAUAGACUCAUUCCUAGAGUGGAAAUGCUCGAGCUACCACCGACACUUAGGUGGCACAAGCUGGACUACAAUAUGUAGGUCCUAAAAUACGUUGGAAAUAAUGACAUUGAACCGAAAAUUGACUAUCACUACUAGAUAGACUUAGUAGUUGGAUUACCUUUACAUGCUUAUAGCAUAGCGUUGGGACUUGUAGUAUACAUGAUAAUCUCAUACAUUGCAUCAUAGUAUACUUGUUAUCAUGAUAAAGCAUAUUCAUCAUACAUUGGCAUAAUGGACCAUGAUACCUACUUGUUCGUUAUGUUUAGACAUAUUAGUCAUGCUUGGACUUGCUUCAUUGGGAUAAAGUAUAUGUACACACUUUCAACAUCAUGUUUAUUUGUGAUAUAGUAGCUUAGCAUCUAAUUAUGCUUUCAUAAUGCAAUUAUUUCAUUACUAUUGCCUUGUUGACUUACCUUUUCUUUUGGGGCCUAGUGGUGCAUUGAGCUGAGGUCAGUAAUUGCCCACUGGGAACUAUAAAUUAUAGUUCUCGCGCCCUCUGCUUUAUGUUUUCUUUCAGAGCCUUCCACGCCGGGAGAGGCUAGGGACCGUGGGAAGGGCGUUGCUUCGAGCUAGCUCUUCUGCGAGAGACGAGUGGAUAGGUGGUCUACCCUCGAUGUUUUUAUUUUGGAGAGGUUGAGAGCUGUACCAGUGCAAUAGAGACCACCCCUUUUUGUACUAUUUUAGGAGAUGAUAUUGUACUACUAUAUGUUCUACUCUUAUUGUUUCAGUAUACCUCUUUUACCUUGUUAUAGACUAUAGAUCUAUCUGUGCUCUGAUAUCUCUAGAUGUAGGUUACCUUUGGUUUUAUUUUCCGCUGUUGUUGUAGACACCUUAUAUGUGCUGACAUAUGGCGGGUCUGGGCACGCUACCGGGAAGGCUUCUGCCGGUCCCGGGGCGUGACAAAUUAGAUGUCAUCCAUGCAAGAUCAAGUUAUUGUUUAACUUGUCUCUAUAGGGUUCUAUGUCACAAACUCAUUCUCAUGCAUCCUAAGUUCACAUGCCAAGCUUACUACGCCGCAAUACAAGGGAGCAUGCAAGAAUAGUAAAAGUAACAUCUAAAUACCCUAACAUGCAUGAUACUAUAUAUGUAGGAUGUUCAACAUAGAAAUACUUAGACAUAGGGAGAAGCCCAGUUGCUUCGGGAUGACACCCCCCACCUUUUAUCGCUAUCACGAGGCUAGGGUUUCGAUUUCGUGAUUUUUGGAAGCUUUCGCCGCAAGCUGCGGCAAUCUGUACCUUAACGGCUUCGUUCUUUAAUAUCUUCACGUAGCCUCGUUGUAUCGCCGAACCGACUUCGCCAACGCGUCAGAAAACCUAG